AAACAACCCCCUAUGUAUUGGAUCUUUGGCAAUUUUGGCCCCCAAGACCACUUUUGACUUUGUCUUCGCUGACGUGGCACCCCCUAACUAAUUACAUGUGGCACCUCACUUAUGGAAAAUGGGCGCCACGUCAGCGAAGACUAAGUCAAAAGUGGUCUUGGGGGCCAAAACUGCCAAAGUCCAAUACAUAAGGGACUGUUU
This is a microRNA precursor of Medicago truncatula (barrel medic), 201 nucleotides long. It matches the Rfam family "MIR2619 microRNA precursor family". The record is from Rfam. NCBI's taxonomy places the organism in Eukaryota, Viridiplantae, Streptophyta, Magnoliopsida, Fabales, Fabaceae.